Molecule: long non-coding RNA, 967 nt
Filed under: Dermacentor andersoni
Lineage: Eukaryota; Metazoa; Arthropoda; Arachnida; Ixodida; Ixodidae
Description: uncharacterized LOC126538461
Source: RNAcentral
ACCCGCCGUUUGCGUACUUAUCUCGCAGGCACAGAGCGUGCCGCCGCGCUUUCUUUGUUUAUUUGCGAGAGAAAAAGUUGGAUCACAAGCUGUGUUGUUUCUUGACAUCUGAUUGGCAUGAAUAUGCCUGUAAGAAAAUACUAGCAGAAGGAAGCUAGCGUGGACUGAUGCAGGCUUCUCGAUUUUGUUUUUUCUUUCCUGCUGAAAAUAAAUUUAUGCAGCACAUUUCAUUAGUUGCAUCACCUUCCUGCGAGCGCAUAUAUGUUGCUCACACGAACACUUUGUUACUGCUUUACAGUGACGCAAGUAAUGAAGCGGUGGAAAUCUCUACGCGACACUUUCAUGAAAAAACGCAAAGAAGUGACAACAACGAAAAGUGGCGCCGGCGCGGACAGUGUUUUCAGUGUGCGGUGGCCGCAUUACAACCAACUACUGUUUCUCCUUGACACAAUGGAAUAUCCUGAGACAAGCGGGAACCUCGUGGAUAUUCAAGACAUCGACUCAUUCGACGAAACAAGCACCGCAUAUCUUCAGACUGAAAGAACUGGCAUCAUAGACAUUGAAGCCAAUCUGGUUGCUAGCAACUUUCCUACCUCCCCUGGGCAGGAAGAUGGGAGUGGAUGCUCCAGCCCCACGUCAGCGCCAUCACCAGCCAGCAGCGCAUCAUCUGGUCCACAGAAAAGGAAACGGGGCCAUGACAAGGUCUUUGAAAAAGAAAUAGGAAUCCUGGGAGAAUGGGCUUCUAAACGAGCCGACGCUUCUGAACUAUUCGGGCUUUUUAUAGGGGACAAGCACAGACGAGUCCCCCAACAUCUGCGAGGACAAUUUGAGUUGGAACUACUGCAAGUUGCUGCUCGUUAUGUGGACAAUCAGUAAAGCUGUCAGUGAAUAACGGGAAGUUGUCAGUCUCUUUUGAAAAAGGAAGUUUGGCAAACAGUGAAAAAUAAAUUAGUUAAAGAAACAUUUA